UACGGAGGGUGCGAGCGUUGUCCGGAAUCAUUGGGCGUAAAGGGCGCGUAGGUGGCCCGGUCAGCGUGCGGUGAAAGCUCGGGGCUCAACCCCGAGUCGGCCGUGCGAACUGCUGGGCUUGAGCACUGUAGAGGCAGGCGGAAUUCCGGGUGUAGCGGUGGAAUGCGUAGAGAUCCGGAAGAACACCGGUGGUGAAGGCGGCCUGCUGGGCAGUGGCUGACACUGAGGCGCGACAGCGUGGGGAGCAAACAGG
This 253-nucleotide ribosomal RNA is filed under the name uncultured bacterium. RNAcentral describes it as "partial 16S ribosomal RNA". It matches the Rfam family "Bacterial small subunit ribosomal RNA", at positions 524 to 776 of the family's 1533-position model. The record is from RNAcentral.